AAGACCUUGCGCUUUUGGAGCGGCCGAUGCCUGAUUAGCUUGUUGGUAAGGUAAAAGCUUACCAAGGCUUCGAUCAGUAGCUGGUCUGAGAGGACGGCCAGCCACACUGGGACUGAGACACGGCCCAGACUCCUACGGGAGGCAGCAGUGGGGAAUUUUGGACAAUGGGCGCAAGCCUGAUCCAGCCAUGCCGCGUGAGUGAAGAAGGCCUUCGGGUUGUAAAGCUCUUUCAGCCGGGAAGAAAAGGUUGCGACUAAUAAUCGCAAUCCAUGACGGUACCGAAAGAAGAAGCACCGGCUAACUACGUGCCAGCAGCCGCGGUAAUACGUAGGGUGCGAGCGUUAAUCGGAAUUACUGGGCGUAAAGCGUGCGCAGGUGGUUUUGUAAGUCAGAUGUGAAAGCCCCGGGCUCAACCUGGGAACU
RNAcentral lists this ribosomal RNA (423 nucleotides) under uncultured bacterium. RNAcentral describes it as "bacterial SSU rRNA". It matches the Rfam family "Bacterial small subunit ribosomal RNA", at positions 207 to 622 of the family's 1533-position model. The record is from RNAcentral.